GACAGAGGGGGCAAGCGUUGCUCGGAAUUACUGGGCGUAAAGGGCGCGUAGGCGGGAUGGCAAGUCGGUCGUGAAAGCCUUCGGCUCAACCGAAGAAUGUCGGCCGAUACUGCCGUUCUUGAGGGAUGCAGAGGAGACUGGAAUUCCCGGUGUAGCGGUGAAAUGCGUAGAUAUGCGGAGGAACACCGAUGGCGAAGGCAAUCCCCUGGACCUGUACUGACGCUCAUGCACGAAAGCGUGGGGAGCAAACAGG
This 253-nucleotide ribosomal RNA is filed under the name uncultured bacterium. RNAcentral's name for it is "partial 16S ribosomal RNA". It matches the Rfam family "Bacterial small subunit ribosomal RNA", at positions 524 to 776 of the family's 1533-position model. The record is from RNAcentral.